RNAcentral lists this ribosomal RNA (321 nucleotides) under uncultured Veillonellaceae bacterium. Its description in RNAcentral is "bacterial SSU rRNA". It matches the Rfam family "Bacterial small subunit ribosomal RNA", at positions 1 to 339 of the family's 1533-position model. Lineage: Bacteria; Bacillati; Bacillota; Negativicutes; Veillonellales; Veillonellaceae. The record is from RNAcentral.
AGUAGUUUGAUCAUGGCUCAGGACGAACGCUGGCGGCGUGCUUAACACAUGCAAGUCGAACGGGGACUUCGGUCCCAGUGGCGAACGGGUGAGUAAAGCGCAAAUAACCUGCCUCAAAGAUGGGGACAACAGCUCGAAAGGGUUGCUAAUACCGAAUGUUAUAAAUUUAUCGCAUGAUGGAUUUAUUAAAGAUUUAUCGCUUUGAGAGGGGUUUGCGUCCGAUUAGCCAGUUGGCAGGGUAACGGCCUACCAAAGCGACGAUCGGUAGCCGGUCUGAGAGGAUGAACGGUCACAUUGGAACUGAGACACGGUCCAGACUCC